This 119-nucleotide ribosomal RNA is filed under the name Rickettsiaceae bacterium. Lineage: Bacteria; Pseudomonadati; Pseudomonadota; Alphaproteobacteria; Rickettsiales; Rickettsiaceae. The record is from RNAcentral.
AUCCACGGCCAUAGAACCUGUAAAAUACUGCAUCCCGUCUGAUCUGCAAAGUCAAGUCAGGUAUCGCUCAGUCAGUACCAAGGUGGGGGACCACUUGGGAAUCCUGGGUGCCGUGGUUU